RNAcentral lists this ribosomal RNA (468 nucleotides) under uncultured bacterium. RNAcentral describes it as "partial 16S ribosomal RNA". It matches the Rfam family "Bacterial small subunit ribosomal RNA", at positions 28 to 507 of the family's 1533-position model. The record is from RNAcentral.
GACGAACGCUGGCGGCGUGCUUAACACAUGCAAGUCGAACGGAAAGGCCCUGCUUUUGUGGGGUGCUCGAGUGGCGAACGGGUGAGUAACACGUGAGUAACCUUCCCUUUACUUUUGGAUAACUUCAGGAAACUGGGGCUAAUACCGGAUAGGAGCUCCUGCUGCAUGGUGGGGGUUGGAAAGUUUCGGCGGUUGGGGAUGGACUCGCGGCUUAUCAGCUUGUUGGUGGGGUAGUGGCUUACCAAGGCUUUGACGGGUAGCCGGCCUGAGAGGGUGACCGGCCACAUGGGGACUGAGAUACGGCCCAGAAGCCUACGGGAGGCAGCAGUGGGGAAUAUUGCACAAUGGGCGGAAGCCUGAUGCAGCAACGCCGCGUGCGGGAUGACGGCCUUCGGGUUGUAAACCGCUUUCGCCUGUGACGAAGCGUGAGUGACGGUAAUGGGUAAAGAAGCACCGGCUAACUACGUG